RNAcentral lists this ribosomal RNA (459 nucleotides) under uncultured bacterium. Its description in RNAcentral is "partial 16S ribosomal RNA". It matches the Rfam family "Bacterial small subunit ribosomal RNA", at positions 338 to 795 of the family's 1533-position model. The record is from RNAcentral.
CCUACGGGAGACAGCAGUGAGGAAUAUUGGUCAAUGGUCGGGAGACUGAACCAGCCAAGCCGCGUGAGGGAUGAAGGUACAGAGUAUCGUAAACCUCUUUUGUCAGGGAACAAAGGCGGGGACGUGUCCCCGGCUGAGUGUACCUGACGAACAAGCAUCGGCUAACUCCGUGCCAGCAGCCGCGGUAAUACGGGGGAUUCGAGCGUUAUCCGGAUUUAUUGGGUUAAAGGGGUGCGCAGGCGGUCUGUUAAGUCAGCGGUCAAGGCCCGGGGCUCAACCCCGGCCCGCCGUUGAAACUGGCAGUCUCGAGUUGGAGAGAAGUAUGCGGAAUGCGCGGUGUAGCGGUGAAAUGCAUAGAUAUCGCGCAGAACUCCGAUGGCGAAGGCAGCAGGCCGGCUCCAAACUGACGCUGAGGCACGAAAGCGUGGGUAGCGAACAGGAUUAGAUACCCCAGUAGUC